This is a long non-coding RNA of Triticum aestivum (bread wheat), 1983 nucleotides long. RefSeq lists it as uncharacterized. Lineage: Eukaryota; Viridiplantae; Streptophyta; Magnoliopsida; Poales; Poaceae. The record is from RefSeq and is a predicted model, not a curated record. The transcript is spliced from 7 exons.
GCGCCAGCCGCCGGCCGACGACGGCAAUCGCAGCACCCUACACCACCGUUACACCUUAGCUCCUCCUUUUCCCCGCGUGCCCGAACUCCUCCUCUCUCGCGCGUGCCCCAGCUCCUCAUUGUGCGCCGCUCGGGAGGGCUUGCGCUCGCCGCUCGACCAGAGCCACCGCCAGCUGGUCGUUGUUGCACUUGCCGGACACCUGACAGUCCCCUCUGCACUGCCCUCCACCACAAAUUUGUACGCGUAUGUGUUUGUGGAUGUUCUCAAUUAUUUUUUGCACACAAGGUGUUUGUGUGUUUGUCCGAGCCAGUUCCAGUCACAGAUCCUUGAGGUAAACUCCCACAUGAAUACAUCAUGAGAGUAACUCUCCUUCGAUAUGAUUCAAAAAAUGUUAUGAUGGUGGGAGUUAAUUAAUUUACAUCAUGUGAGUCUCAAGACACAUGGGUACGCCGGUUCCUAUUGCUUGACAAAUACUCCCUCCAUUCCAAAAUAGAUGACUCAACUUUGUAUUAACUUAGUACAAAGUUGAGUCAUCUAUUUUGGAACGGAGGGAGUAUAUAUCUACAGAUUUUCUAUAAUCGUAUAAAGAAGUUACAGUUAGGUGUUGACCUUUUUCUUUGCCUAGACACAGCAGCUCCAACAAGAUCUGGGCGCUCAUAAUGAGAUGUAUAUGCAUGCUUUUUGUUUUUGCUGUGCCUUGUUUUCCGUUUAUCUUUGCUGCGCCAUUGUAGUUUGAAUUGUUCUUUACCUUCACCCGACCGAAUUGAGCUAUCGGAGGUGCUGCGGUCUUUUGGCAAACAUGCUCUAUAUUAUAUGGUUUGGCACCUACAGGAUGCCAUCUCAGGUCAUGGAUCCACUCUGUCUGCUUCGUCCUUCACUGAGGACCUUCUCAUCCCCACAGAGAUCAGAGAGAAUAUUAUAUUUUGGAAGCAGGAAACCAUACCUCAUAAGAUGGCAUUUUGUGCUUGGUGGCCUUCUUCGCCGACUUCGUGGGCGUGUCAGCCCUCAUAUCCACUUCGUCAUCGACGACAUCUACGACCACGACACCUGCCACCUUGGGUAUGAUUGUGAUCUGUGCAAUGGGUGCAUAGUGGAAGGGGCUGCCGUUCCAGUUCAGCAGGGGCUGCACCUUCUACUGCAGUGAGCCCGACCCGCAUCGACAGCAAUGGAUUCAGAUUGUGUUUGGAGAUGGUGGCCCGUGAGGAGGAUUUCAGGGGAGAUCGUACUGUGACUAUGACAAGAGGCUGAGAUUUGACCUGCACUGUAUGCGAAAAGCAGGUUUAGGAGCUCCAAGCCAACAACCGCCAGAGCUUUGAAAAAGAUAUUUUUAUAAUUAAAGUGAAGAUACUGUGAUGGUGUGUCAUUUUCUGGAAACGUCGAAGACGAAUUUCAGGAAGGCACCACUUUCUUCUUCAGAGGCCAGCAUAUUUGGGAAGCAGUUAUUAGGGAACUUUUAUCAAAAGGUCUAUCACAUGCUAAAGAAGUAGCCUUCCGACAAAAAUAGGUGUGAUCAUUGAAAUCUGGGUUAGAUAGAAGCAAUGUUUAAAUUUGAACUGUGCAUGAGUCUCAGAAUGUUUUGUUGGUGCCAUGUUGACACAUCAGUUGUAUAGGUCACACCUAGAACUAGCGUCACCACCGCAAAAGAAAUGAAGAAAUAGAUUAGUAACUUGUACCAAAGGCGUCUACUGUGCCAUAUUAUCUCUGUAUCUUUUUUCAAUCUGUUUGUAUUGAUAGCUGAGAGUGACACUUAGGACGAUAAUUCAGAUAUCAUUUUUGUAUUUAAGAUGCAGGCUGAAUUUCUUAAUUGGAAAAAUGGCAUCAUUUUGACGAGUCAGAACUAAAUUGCAAGAAUUAUGUAUAUCAGUGGCAUCAUUUUGACUGAGACGGACCAAACCAAACAGAAUGUUAUAAGCAACGGAUAAACAGAGCACUAAAUUUCAAUCACAGAUAGGGCUGAUUCUUGAAUCUGGCAAGUUAUGGGAA